This is an RNA transcript of Felis catus (domestic cat), 4995 nucleotides long. RefSeq lists it as uncharacterized. The record is from RefSeq and is a predicted model, not a curated record. NCBI's taxonomy places the organism in Eukaryota, Metazoa, Chordata, Mammalia, Carnivora, Felidae. The transcript has 4 exons.
CUCAGAGCUUGGAGCCUGCUUCCGAUUCUGUGUCUCCUUCUCUCUCUGCCUCUCCCCUACUCAUGCCCUGUCUUUCUUUGUCUCAAAAAUAAUAAAGAUAAACAUUAAAAAAAGAAUAGAAAGAUGAAGUCCAAUCCCAUUCCCUUCAAUAUGAACUGCUUUUGUGACCUGCUUGAUCAAUAGAAUGUGGUAGAAGUGAUGUCUGGAUGUUCCAAGGUUAGGUCAUAAGAAACCUUGGAACUUCUGGCUGUGCCCCUGGGAACACUCUCUUGGAACCCUGAGCUGCUGUUGUAAGAAAUCCUAUUACCCUAAGGAUUGUCAUGCUGUGAGGAGCCCAAGUUGAGGUGAGGGAGAUGGUAGGGAGAGAGGCAGGCCAAGGACUCCAAGUGCCAAACCUAUGAGUGCAGAAACCAUUUUGAAGAUGGACCAUCUAGCCCCAGUGGACACCAUGUAGAUCAGAGAUAAACCAGGCAGCAGAGCUCUUCAUGAAUUAUUGAGACACAACUAUUAUAAGCAAAAUAGAAGUGUUCAGAAAACUCAUUAGCGUCCAACCUCCUCAAUUAGGCAGAGUAAACACUUAUGACUCCGAACUGGCCCCCUACUGCAGGAGAGAUGGAUAGAAUUCAAGCAAAAUGUUGGCCUAGUACCCAAGGAUUUGACCACGACGUUUACUUCUCUUCAAUCAAAUUCAGGUCACAUCUUCCUGUAGUUUUCUAUAUAAGUAAUUAAGCUCUUAUCUCCAAUUUUCAAAGGAUCACUGUUUCCUUUGCUACAUGUAUCCAUUUCCUCUUUAAUUCAUGGUGUGUACUUAUCUAUUAUUGUAUGCAUACCAUUCAUUUGUGGCAUUAUCUGCUGUUAGAUUUUCCCAUUUUUCUUAAUCUGACAAUCACAGAAUCAGCAACACGAUAGCAGGCGAACCAAAUUGAGAGGCAGAGAUCUUUUUUAAUGCUGCGAAAGAAAAAGAAAGGGCACAUUUUAAAUGUUCUGCUUCUUAAAGAAUUCUAUUUAAAAAAAAAACUGUGAAGUUAUUGCACUUCUCCCUGGGAAUCGCGACUGUAUAAAUUCUAACUUUUCCCAGUGUUCAGGCACAUGGGAUCCAGGGAAACAUUAGCCACGUUCUAUUCAUGUUCAUAGGUCGUGACUAAGAUAAAUAGAUUUUCAAGAAACACUGAUGUGGGUGUACUUCAAGUGGGAGGAAUUUCAUGUUCCAGUCUCCCUGCUGAACACCUAGAAUAUUAGAGACUUGGGAAGUUUGUGCUUGACUCCUUUUCAGAGAGAACGUGACUGAGGUCACAGCGUGAUAAAUCUCUGACACGACAGUGCGAGGGAACAGGCAUCGGAACAGAGGGGAGCAAAACAAGCCGAAGUGAAAAGUUCAAAUGCAUGAUGGUAUUCUUACAAGCGAGGCAGCUGAGGGUUAUUAAAGAGCAGCUUUCAUAGAGGAGGUGGCUGAUCAUCCUCGUUUCAGACAGGAACGCUCUUGUGCUUUCUCUUCUCUCUGUUGUCAGUCAUAAUCCUGCACGUACGCGUGCACUCACACACACGCGCGCGCACACUGCGUAUUUAUACUCAAUGUUCAAUCUGUUGAAAAGUAUUUACUCUUCUUCAUCGGAAUGCUGAAUUGUGACAUGUAUCUUCAGUUCCUUAGCAACAAACUGUCAUGUCACCCUUGUGAAAUCCUGGUCAGCUGAGAGGGAGGGGAACGCUGAAUUGUGAUGGAGAAAAUCCUUAUUUUAAUCACAAAUGUGUAUAAGAACUGGAAAGACAAUAUGAAAAGGCAGGUCAAGGAAGCUGCGUUUGAACAAGUGUUUUUGAUUAAGAUUGGUACUCAACUUUGUAAGGAUGCCAUGGGUGCCCUUCUCAGCAGAGCACUAGAGAUUUGAAACAAAUCACCUGAACAGGGGAAAGGACUACAAGGAGUGUGCAUGAGCCUGAGGAAAAGAGCUGCCUUCUGCCCCGAAGAGCAGGAGUCCAUCUUCAAUGGGACACAUCUGUUGGCUUGUCUGCCCACGCUUCCCCUCUCUGGGAUUUGCUCGCCCGGCUACAUGUUUAUGAGGACAGCCGUGGUCAUGCAAUGUCCCUUUGGUUUUGGGGGGGUUUGGAAGGGGUAUCUGUUAGAGGCAAACAGCCACUCUGUCCUAGGAGAUUUUGACUUUCUCUUUUUCAUGCGUUUUUGCUUUUAUCAAAGUAGGUAAUCUGCUACUGGCCAGAUACACAACUGCAUUUGGAUACUGUAGUGGGGUCCAAGGACUACCCAAACCACUGCCUGGGAAUGCCAGUUUCUCAUAACGAGUUAGAAAUCAAUGCUAGCAGCUUCCCUGCUAAGUGAAAAAAUUACAUAAUUCCUUCUGCACCACUGCAUUAGGCAGAUUUUUUUCUCUUUCUGAACAUACAGUAAAUCCCAAGUGUUUUAAGCCAUGGUACCUCUCGUUAAACACAAUAUGAAAUCACUACCAAAUUUAAAUAAAAAAUAAAUUCGAUGUAGCGCUAAGAGAUUCUCCUGCCAAAAACUCUCACACAAUUAACACACUAGCAGAAUGUGUUGCUAAUUUCAUGCCACUGGAGUCUUUUCUACUUCAGAAUAUAGAAACAAAAUCGGGUCAGAGCUCCAAUAAUAACAGGAUUUUGUUAAAAUAUACAGCCCUGUGGUGCAGGUAUGUUGGAGGCAUGGGCGAAAAGUAGAAUCACAGUGAUGCAUGAAAUAGCUUACCCCUGCAAAUACAACAGCAAGAAUUUGUCUCCAGCUUCUCUGCCGCAGGAGAGAGAGAGAGAGGGACUGAGAGAGUCCAGAACUGCCCUGUUCUGUGGGGCAAAAGUGUCAUUAUCAGUGUUUGUCCAUCCACGCACUUCUACAAGGGAGGCAAGCACCAGUUAAAUUAGACUUGGGGACCCACAGCCCGUAAAUCCUAGAGCUCUGAUUCUCCUAGUAUCUCUCAGGCUCCCUCUCUCCAUCCUCACCUCCCACCUCUUCGCCUCCUAACACAGGCCUGGUCUUUUCCAUAACAAAAACGGCGAUAAUGAAAAUAUUUUGGCAGCAUUCAGGGCCUUUCACAUCGUGACCCUGACCUCCAAAUCAAUUUUCUUUAUUCUUAACCCGACCUUGGCAUCCAUUCUUGCUGGUGUUCAAUAUUAGUUACAAAAUCCUGAACUCCCCGAGACCUUCCCUCCUCCCCCAGAUAGCCAAGGCAGGCCACACUGCUGAAGCAGGCUCUUGACAAAGAAAAAUAGGAAGGAGAUCAACAAGCACUAUGAGUUCUAUAGGAGUCUCAUUUGCACCAAAUGCCAUUAGCCCCAUUAUUUACUCAGACAACAGUGGAGGCAGCCGCAGUCCCCCGCUUGUGUAGGGCACCCUGGAUGACACCAUGCAUCACCGGCCGCACAGAACUUCACUUAAAUAGUGAUAUGUAAGGUAGAGCCUGUUACAUUUAAUCCAUCACCCGUGGGUUCGCCUAGUGCAGAGACUGGAAAAAUUGUGCACAUUUCUCCAUUGCUGCCUGCAUUAAUCCUAGGAAGGGAGUGAACUGAAAAGAGAAAGUGCCAAUUUCAGCACACAUGUUAAAAAGAGAAGCAAAGAAUAAAAGGAAAAGAAAGCAUCUCCCUGACUCAGAUGGGGGAGGGAGGUUUUUAAAGGAGAAGACGGCUUUUCAGAACUCUGUGCAUUUACUGUGAGAACAAGUACCCACAGAGACCAGGGUUCGGGGUCAUCAUACAUUUAGGAGGAGAAGUUAGCUGGCAGGGGCUAUUUUUCUGCAAAUUAGUUUUCUCUCAAGGGUAACGGUGGGGGAGGAGCAGAGGAAAAUGAAUUGGAGCCGUUGAAUAAUCGUGUAUUGUUUGGCUGGUUGCGGGACCUCUGAACUGAUGCUCUAAGAAGCCUUUCCAGGCCUUCCUUUUCUAUGGGCCAGGAUGGGAAGCCUCUCACAGCUGUUGAUGAGUGUCCUAUAGGGGCAGCGAUGGGGACAGCAGUGUGGCCCCACAGACAAUGGUCCACAGAGCGUCGGCUCCACUUGGCAAGAAAGGCACGGUCUGCUGGUCAUUACUGCCGAACACAGGGCUGGACAGGUGGCCGAGCAGGACAGUGAGAAGGGGCAGGGUCCAAAGUCUGUGCUGGUCUCAAAGAAGUGAGGCGAGGGGCAAAGGUAGAAAAACAACAAUAUAGUGGGAAGCGAUAGACCAGCUCUCCUUGGGGGGAGGAAUGUUUAUAACAUGAAAACGGAUGAGUUCAUCUGGAAGUGUUUGUCUCAUUGCUUUUGGGUCCAGGGUCUGGUUGGAAUGCUCGGCAUCGUGUUUGUCCUGCAGAUGUUUUCCCACCCUCACUUUGGCCCUUACAAACACUGCCUCCUCUAAACCAGCGCUUCUCAGCUUCCCCUAAAGUGCCCCCCCCCGCCCCCCUGGCAGAGGAGCUCAAAGUCCACACUCGGGGACUCUGUGGGGAGAGCCUGAAAGCUCCCUCCACGAAGAAGAGACUGGGCUGAAGUCUGGUAUUUGUGUAUCUUUCAAAACCUGAUAUAUUGUGAAGUAGCCUAAAAUAACGAACGUUCGAAAUGACCAUUUAAAUUCCUUUCUUUCCUCAAUUCUAAUGUAUCAUUCUAAGAUGAAACUCAAUCCAUACCUGAGGGGGAAAAAAGAAAGAGGACAACACCCACGGAACACAUACUUAGAGUGUCAGAAGCAUCCUUCCAGAUUUCCAAGGCUUAAAACGUGAAUUUGAAAAAAAUCUAUGUCAUAAAAUCAAGGAAAUGUGUAAUUAUAAUCAAGGAAAAUGGAAAUGUCAAGAGGUAACAACCAGUUUGGCCUGUGGCUCCAGACGUACUGGGGCACACACCAGUUUGCAGAGCAUUACAGUGGGGAUGGCUAUUGUAAAGUGAUGAAACACAGACUUACCUGGUUGUAACCACCUUGUAAUAAAAUGCUGUGUUCUUUCAUUCUGGUGUUGUCAGAGCUCAGGGCAGCACCAGGCACACAGCAGGUGCUUAAUAAAUAUUUGCUGAAUUGAAA